This 148-nucleotide signal recognition particle RNA is filed under the name Pan paniscus (pygmy chimpanzee). Its description in RNAcentral is "Metazoan signal recognition particle RNA". It matches the Rfam family "Metazoan signal recognition particle RNA". Rfam says of the family: The signal recognition particle (SRP) is a universally conserved ribonucleoprotein. It is involved in the co-translational targeting of proteins to membranes. The eukaryotic SRP consists of a 300-nucleotide 7S RNA and six proteins: SRPs 72, 68, 54, 19, 14, and 9. RNAcentral also lists the same sequence under 1 other name. The record is from Rfam by way of RNAcentral. Lineage: Eukaryota; Metazoa; Chordata; Mammalia; Primates; Hominidae.
GCUGGGCGUGGUGGCACACGCCUGUAAUCCCAGCUACUCAGGAAGCUGAGGCAGGAGAAUCGCUUGAACCCGGGAGGCGGAGGUUGCAGUGAGCCGAGAUCGCGCCACUGCACUCCAGCCUGGGUGACAGAGCGAGACUCUGUCUCAG